Molecule: long non-coding RNA, 347 nt
Organism: Sinocyclocheilus grahami
Lineage: Eukaryota; Metazoa; Chordata; Actinopteri; Cypriniformes; Cyprinidae
Exons: 3
Source: RefSeq, a predicted model, not a curated record
GUGUUUUCUGCUGUUAAAAUGGGCCUGUGUCCCACAGGUGACCCGUCUGCAGUACCUCAACACUGUGAUGGCGUCGCGGGUGGCCCAGAGCCCCGAGCCGCCUGAAAUCAAGAUCCUGCCCAACAGUCAAACCAAACUCCUGAACGAGAAAAACACUACUCAAGACAGGAUUUAAAUGUCCAGGUGCGCUCAAGAGCCAGGAAUCCAGGCCAGACGAGGAGCUUCACAGCCAGAGAGGAGCGUUUUGACCUUCUAUCUAACCUUCCUGCAGAACUCACAAGGAUUUUAUUAUGACAACUAAUUUGUUUUUGUCGUCUUCAAUGAAUCUUUUACUCCUGGAAUGCAGC